Molecule: ribosomal RNA, 298 nt
Filed under: Japyx sp. CFNDS2
Lineage: Eukaryota; Metazoa; Arthropoda; Diplura; Dicellurata; Japygidae
Description: partial 12S ribosomal RNA
Source: RNAcentral
AAACUAAAGAAUUUGGCGGCAUUUCAGUCCUAUUAGAGGAACUUGUUCUGUAAGUGAUAAUCCACGGUUGGUUUGUCCUAUUUUUGUGUGUCAGUUUGUAUACCGUCGUCUUUGAUUACUUCUAGAGUUUGUUUUCAUAAUAGUUAUUCAUUGUAUUACAGAUCAAGGUGCAGCUAAUAAAUAGGGUAGAAAUGAGUUACAAUAAUUUAAAUUACUAAUUUUAUUUUAAAAUAAAUGAAGGUGGAUUUAGGAAUAAUAAUUUUUUAGAUAAAAUCGUGAAUAAUUAAAUGCUCUAAAA